Molecule: ribosomal RNA, 307 nt
Filed under: uncultured bacterium
Lineage: Bacteria
Description: bacterial SSU rRNA
Rfam family: Bacterial small subunit ribosomal RNA
Source: RNAcentral
AAUGAACGCUGGCGGCGUGCCUAACACAUGCAAGUCGAACGAGAACGCUCCCUUCGGGGAGCAAGUACAGUGGCGAACGGGUGAGUAACGCGUGGAUAACGUACCCUUCUGUGGGGAACAACCAAGGGAAACUUUGGCUAAUACCGCAUAAGCUCUUCGGAGGAAAGGUUGCCUCUCUACGAUGCAAUCGCAGAAGGAGCGGUCCGCGUCCCAUUAGCUAGUUGGUGGGGUAAUGGCCUACCAAGGCGACGAUGGGUAGCCGGCCUGAGAGGGUGAUCGGCCACACUGGGACUGAGACACGGCCCAG